AUACUUUGAUUCUGUUCGGAAGAGAAGCUCUACCUCAAGCAUCAAGAUGAAGGCUGCUGUUGUUCUUGCUGUUCUUGCUGCGGUGCUGUGUGCCAGCACUGUCAACUGUGACUGCUUGUGUCCCCGUAUCAUUGACCCCGUCUGUGACACCGCCGGCAACUACUACGACAAUGCGUGCCUCUUGAACUGUGUUGAGGGUGCCGUCCAGGCCGCAGAGGGCGCCUACACCUUCAAUGGUAGCACCUGUGUUGCUGCCAGGAAGUAGAUGACAUUCA
Haliotis rubra (blacklip abalone) is the source of this 275-nucleotide long non-coding RNA. RefSeq lists it as uncharacterized. The record is from RefSeq and is a predicted model, not a curated record. The transcript is spliced from 3 exons. NCBI's taxonomy places the organism in Eukaryota, Metazoa, Mollusca, Gastropoda, Lepetellida, Haliotidae.